GCCCUACGGGGCGCAGCAGUGGGGAAUAUUGGGCAAUGGGCGCAAGCCUGACCCAGCAACGCCGCGUGAAGGAAGAAGGCUUUCGGGUUGUAAACUUCUUUUAAGAGGGAAGAGAAGAAGACGGUACCUCUUGAAUAAGCCACGGCUAACUACGUGCCAGCAGCCGCGGUAAUACGUAGGUGGCAAGCGUUAUCCGGAUUUACUGGGUGUAAAGGGCGUGUAGGCGGGACUGCAAGUCAGAUGUGAAAACCAUGGGCUCAACCCAUGGCCUGCAUUUGAAACUGUAGUUCUUGAGUGUUGGCGAG
This 305-nucleotide ribosomal RNA is filed under the name uncultured bacterium. RNAcentral's name for it is "bacterial SSU rRNA". It matches the Rfam family "Bacterial small subunit ribosomal RNA", at positions 335 to 656 of the family's 1533-position model. The record is from RNAcentral.